CCUACGGGAGGCUGCAGUGGGGAAUAUUGGACAAUGGGGGGAACCCUGAUCCAGCCAUGCCGCGUGUGUGAAGAAGGCCCUCGGGUUGUAAAGCACUUUCAGUGAGGAAGAACGCCUGGUGGUUAAUACCCAUCAGGAAAGACAUCACUCACAGAAGAAGCACCGGCUAACUCCGUGCCAGCAGCCUCGGUAAUACGGAGGGUGCGAGCGUUAAUCGGAAUUACUGGGCGUAAAGCGCGCGUAGGUGGCUUGAUAAGCCGGUUGUGAAAGCCCCGGGCUCAACCUGGGAACGGCAUCCGGAACUGUCAAGCUAGAGUGCAGGAGAGGAAGGUAGAAUUCCCGGUGUAGCGGUGAAAUGCGUAGAGAUCGGGAGGAAUACCAGUGGCGAAGGCGGCCUUCUGGACUGACACUGACACUGAGGUGCGAAAGCGUGGGUAGCAAACAGGAUUAGAUACCCGUGUAGUC
RNAcentral lists this ribosomal RNA (465 nucleotides) under Vreelandella stevensii. Its description in RNAcentral is "partial 16S ribosomal RNA". It matches the Rfam family "Bacterial small subunit ribosomal RNA", at positions 338 to 795 of the family's 1533-position model. The record is from RNAcentral. Lineage: Bacteria; Pseudomonadati; Pseudomonadota; Gammaproteobacteria; Oceanospirillales; Halomonadaceae.